UUUGACCUCCUCCAUUUCCAACCUGGACCAGUUCAUCUCUUCUUAGAUGGAGGAAGGGGCCCCAAAGCUGAGGACACCAGGCAGCCUUUAGAGGCUGAAAAGGACGAGAAAAUGGAUUCUCCUCCAGAGUUUCCAGAAAAGAAUUCCUUUGUUUUAGCCCACAAAGACCUGUGCCACAUUCCUGAUCUCCUGAACUAGAAGAUAAUAAAUCUGUGUUGUUUUUA
Molecule: long non-coding RNA, 224 nt
Organism: Cebus imitator (Panamanian white-faced capuchin)
Lineage: Eukaryota; Metazoa; Chordata; Mammalia; Primates; Cebidae
Exons: 2
Source: RefSeq, a predicted model, not a curated record